Callorhinchus milii (elephant shark) is the source of this 2560-nucleotide RNA transcript. It is a transcript of the gene named RNA binding fox-1 homolog 3a, with no coding region annotated. The record is from RefSeq and is a predicted model, not a curated record. Lineage: Eukaryota; Metazoa; Chordata; Chondrichthyes; Chimaeriformes; Callorhinchidae. The transcript is spliced from 13 exons.
CAGCCCCCCCAACCUUCAGUAAACUAGGGAUCCUCCCCCUCUCUCAUUGUCCUUAAGUGGUACAGAAUAUAGGCAUCCACUGCAUUGAUCAUUCAGCUCAAGAACAGGGAGAACACGCCAGCACUUUAUUAAUGCAGUUUAGGUAGUUAAGUGAGAGAGAGAGAGCGAGAGAGCACGAGUGAGCUUCAGACAUAUACACACACACACAUACACAAACACACUGCCCCGUUACAUGCUCUGCUCAAUGGCAAACUCCGGCUGCAUCUUGCUGUCCAACUCAGCUAUGCUCCCUCACACCAUCACCUGCACUCCGGCCUUUCUCUAUCUCCAGGAGGGUAAUCAAGAAGCCACGGCCCCUCCUGAAGCAAUGGCACAGCCCUACCCUCCUGCCCAGUACCCUGCUCCGCAGAACGGAAUCCCAGCUGAAUACGGUCCAGCACACCCACACGCCACUCAGGACUACGCGGGACAGACCACGGUACCAGAGCACGCCAUGACGAUUUACACACCCACACAGACGCAUUCCGACCAGCCGUGCGGCGAUGCAAACACACAGUCUUUGACGGGCACGUCCACAGUACCGCAGACAGACGAAGCCGCACAGACAGACUCGUCACAGCAGCUACAGUCAUCAGAGACUACAGAGAAACAGCAGCCCAAGCGGUUACAUGUAUCUAACAUACCCUUCCGAUUCAGGGACCCUGACCUGCGACAAAUGUUCGGGCAAUUUGGUAAAAUUUUAGACGUUGAAAUCAUUUUUAAUGAGCGAGGAUCUAAGGGAUUUGGUUUCGUAACUUUCGAAACAAGUGCCGACGCAGACAGGGCACGGGAGAAAUUAAAUGGAACAAUCGUAGAAGGCCGUAAAAUAGAGGUUAAUAACGCAACAGCAAGAGUAAUGACGAACAAAAAGACCCCAAAUCAGUACACAAACGGCUGGAAAUUAAAUCCAGUUGUCGGAGCUGUCUACGGCCCCGAGUUUUAUGCAGUGACUGGCUUUCCCUAUCCAGGAGCUGGAGCAGCUGUGGCUUACAGAGGGGCUCAUUUACGAGGAAGAGGUCGUGCUGUUUACAAUACCUUCCGCGCUGCACCCCCACCCCCUCCUAUCCCCACCUAUGGAGCAGUUGUGUACCAAGAUGGGUUUUACGGCGCUGAGAUCUACGGAGGCUAUGCAGCAUACAGAUACGCCCAGCCUGCUGCUGCUGCUGCCGCUGCUUACAGUGACAGUUAUGGGAGAGUUUAUGCAGCAGCAGACCCUUACCACCACGCUAUAGCACCAGCUGCAACGUAUAGCGUUGGGACUAUGGGCACACUAGCCCAAUGUUCGUGACCAUGUCAGAGUUUGACCAGGGGAGAAAUGGACGGAUCAUUACACACCCCAGUGACUCUGGCAUGACACAGGUGCACUGUACUAAAUGAAGGGCUCGGAGGCUGAAAUCUACGGAUUCUGGGAAUACAGAACCUCAUGCCACAUCUGCAGCAAACAACAUGUGGAAUGUACGCAAGUACUACCAUACCGAAAAGAAUUAUAGGUUGUAUACCAUGUGUACGCUCCAAAUCCUUUUUAUAACUCCACUUGUACAUAGUCCUUUAGCUGGUGCCCUGUGCAAUAGAUUAUAACACACCCUGACCUUCCUUCCAUUGAAAGUAAUAGGAAACUCCCUGUGAAAUGACAGCGUUAAUGUCCCAGCCCCCAAGUGCAUUUUUCUCAUGCACAGGAGCAGACCUGUUGUGUGUGUGUUUUUCAAUCGGAGUGAACGAAACGGCAGCUCUCAUUCAAAUAACUAUGUGAAAUAAUAGCAGUGAGUUGUUGGGGGUGUAAGGGAGUUGUUAAAAAAAAUCACAAAAAAAAAUAAAAUAAAAUGAAUAAAAACCGCUCUUUUUUAGGGCUUCCCAAUGCCCUAGGAACAGGGUGUGUUGUAAAAAGAUUCUAAAACAGCCUGAAGUUACAGGAUCGAGAGACUUCUUUGCCUCCCCCACCCCCCAAAAAAACAUUGCCUGAACCCAGAGGAUUGACUUUGGGUCCACAAUGACCCCAUGGCCUGGACUAAGGAAUGUUCUCCUUUUAAGCCCUUGAGUUUCUGAUGCCCUAAUUUUAGUCCUAGGUACUUGGCUCAGAAUUAGGGUAUCUGGUUUCCUCUUGGUGCAAGGAACCCUAGUUUUGCUGCGCCUUCAACUCUCCAUUUCCCUCUGUCCAAAAUGCCACCAUUCCUCAAGGCCAUUGAGCCCUUCAUCAAACGCCAUUACUUUGCUCAGCCAUUGGGUGCAUGAUGCUCUUUCAACCUGAGAUAUCCUGGAUUUUCUCAGGCUUCAUCGCCUCAAUGUUCUCUCAGUCCUGCAACUGUAUGCUGUUUAAUACCCUAUUAGUACCUCAUGUGCUUUUAACUGUCUACACGCUGUUAGUUUCUAAUUUCUUGCUCUCUGCUGCUGCCCUGGUAGAAACCUGCUGAUUAGAGAGCUGUAGUUUAGACUUCUGCCUUCCUUUUUCUGCCAUUCUGUAAGCUUCUAAUGUGCUUCAAUUAACAAUAUCCUUAAUAAAGGUUGUUUCUUUCUUCAACAAAAA